Molecule: ribosomal RNA, 442 nt
Filed under: uncultured bacterium
Lineage: Bacteria
Description: partial 16S ribosomal RNA
Rfam family: Bacterial small subunit ribosomal RNA
Source: RNAcentral
CCUACGGGGGGCUGCAGUGGGGAAUAUUGGGCAAUGGGCGCAAGCCUGACCCAGCAACGCCGCGUGAAGGAAGAAGGCUUUCGGGUUGUAAACUUCUUUUAAGAGGGAAGAGCAGAAGACGGUACCUCUUGAAUAAGCCACGGCUAACUACGUGCCAGCAGCCGCGGUAAUACGUAGGUGGCAAGCGUUGUCCGGAUUUACUGGGUGUAAAGGGCGUGCAGCCGGGAAGACAAGUCAGGGGUGAAAGCCCGCGGCUCAACCGCGGAACUGCAUUUGAAACUGUUUUUCUUGAGUACCGGAGAGGUCAUCGGAAUUCCUUGUGUAGCGGUGAAAUGCGUAGAUAUAAGGAAGAACACCAGUGGCGAAGGCGGAUGACUGGACGGCAACUGACGGUGAGGCGCGAAAGCGUGGGGAGCAAACAGGAUUAGAUACCCGGGUAGUC